Long non-coding RNA from Seriola dumerili (greater amberjack), 1642 nucleotides. RefSeq lists it as uncharacterized. The record is from RefSeq and is a predicted model, not a curated record. The transcript is spliced from 2 exons. NCBI's taxonomy places the organism in Eukaryota, Metazoa, Chordata, Actinopteri, Carangiformes, Carangidae.
UAGCAAUGUCCGACUUGGUUUCUAUCAGGAACUGCCCGACUUCUCUUAAACAAAAUUAUUCAUCACUUCAUUAACAGCAGGACGGAUGUUCAUCAUCAUCUGCACCCUCGCGUUAACGUCUGACACCCGGCGUGCAGUGGGGCCAGUAAGCACCGGAUGCGGCCAGCGCCCGGCUGCAGGCGGCCCUCUCAAUGGUCUCUCCCACCAUGAAAGCGGUGGUGGAUGCUGUAUGGGCGGUGUGGAGCAUCGGGGCCUCCAUCUAUGACUACAUCCACACCAACGCCAUGGAGGAGCGCAUCCACGCCCUGGAGAAUGUCAUCACCAUCCACCAGUGUGUGAUUGGGCUGCUGUCUGCUGGCGUAUUGGUACUCUUCACCUACAUCCUCUUCAAGAAGCUCUGAAGAUGUGUGAAGGGGUGGGCCGGGGCUGUGAUGCGAAAAGUGGACCAACCCAAUUCGGACGUUGGAGUUUAACGUGGUAGAGCAAACACUGAUCAGACAGACAAAGGGGAAUUUUACACUUCGGGUACAUUACAAAGGCUCAUAAGAGCUGCAGGGUAAAUGUAGUUUCCAUGGGAAGAAACUGUAAGGAGGAGAUGUAAUGGGACCUAACACACACUGGCACACUGUCGAGACGCAGCCUCAUGAAAAAACAAACUAUUAAUGAUCAAAGCAUGAGGUUUUAACUUUCUACUACUUUUUUUCCCCAACAUCACUGCAGUGCCACCUUUUUCAUAAAUCUAGCUUCGGGGAAAACAAUCUGAAGUUCAUGUGUUCUAUCAGUAAUAUAAUGGUUGUGUAGGAGGUGAGCAUGUGGGGCUACAGGGUCCAACUGUUUUUUAAAGGCUAGUGUAGAUAGUUUUUAUAGUGAUGACGACAUAUUUUAUGCACCAGUAUUCAGUAUCUUUUAAAUUUAAGAUUUAACACUUCAUUUUAAUGGUUUAAACACCAACAGAAUUAAUUGUUCCCUCCCAAAACUUUAUCCCUAACCAGCUUAAGCAUAAAUAAAAGCGUAUACAGCAUUAUACUUUUUAUGUUAACGUUUUGUUAUAUCCCACACCUGUUAUAACCCAUCACUGUUGGUGCGAGUGCUAUAUAAAAGACAAUAUGAAGUGUCCUUAAAAACUGUAAAUAUGUUUUUGAUGUUUGUGGGCAGCAUUUCUUUUAUCUGGCCAUUGAAAGUUUUCAUAGAUGUGCUACUACCCCAUAGUACUACUGCUGCUUAAUAUUUAUGGUUUUGUUUUUGUAACAUGUACCAGUGUAAGAUUUAAGAGAUGAUACUAGGCACUGACUGCAAACACUGGAUCAACGUAUGGUAUGAAAUGAUAAGUGUCUUUUACAGGAUAAAGGACGUUUUUGUCAUGGUAACUUAAUUUAACUUCACUUGCUGAGAGGACUGUUUAAAGAAGCGGUAAGUCAAUGGAAACUACUGCCACAAGAGUCCUGAGUUUAGAAAAAUAAGUGUAUGUGCUGUGUGUAUAUCUGUGUACAUUUGUAACUGUCCCAGAGGGAACAGAACAAGAGUAAACACCUAAGGAUGAAACAUUGUUUUAAUAUCAUUUUAACAGCAAGGUUGUUUUCUCAAAAUGCCAAAUAAAUGUGGAAUUCUUGCAGGUAAAUUGCUGUUGUAUAAAAAAAAAAAA